UGAAGAUUUUCAUGAUUGUUCUUUAUUUGGUUGGAUUCAUCUCUGACCUUUGGCAAGGUGUUUGCUUUUUCAAAGGUUGUUUUUUUCUUGCUUUGUUGGUGAUUAAUUGGGAUGCGUUUAUUGAGUUGAAGGGUUGGUUUUCUUUUUGACAAGCUUAAUGUGUUUGAUUUUGUUUGUGAUGAUUUAGGUUUCUGUUUCCGUGAAUGGAAUGGGGUACAGGAUGGAUUUUGCUGCUUUUUUUGGUUCCUCAUAUGUGAUUGGUUUUGGUUAUGAGGAUGCUUUGAACAAAUUAGUAGUAUUUUGAUGCUCUCUGCUUUCUAUUAAUUUCUUUCUAAUUAGAUAUUGAUUGUAAGUGUGUCUAUUUGAAUGAAGAAAGAAUGGCCUUUUCUUUGUUGACUUUUAAGAAUUUUUUGGGAUUUAGGAAUUUGGAAUUUAUGUCAAUGAAUUAAUUGCAGUGAAUAUUUGUGCUUAGUUACGCUUGUUGAUAUGAAGUAUAGUUGGUCUAUUAAUUUGUUUCAUUGUUUGCUGGUUUAUGUAGUGGUUUUUCAACUUUUAGUCUUUUUUCUUUUUGCUGUGAGAUAUUGACUAAUAAAACCGUGUGAACAUAAUGAUUUUUUACUAUUCUGAGAUUUCCUGAGUUUUUUUUAUUGUGGUGGUUUUCAGUGUAGGUGAUUUGUGAUAUUCAGCAGGGGAGAGAUGAGUAAAAGAUACAAUGAAUUUGCGAUGCCACCUUGUUGAAUUAGAAUGGUCUAAGGUUGUGGUGGGAGUUGGUGAAAUCAUGAAAACUGGGGAUGACUUGUCAAAUUUCGCUGGAAUGUGAGAUUUUUGUGACUAUUCAUUGCUAAUGGAUGAGUAUCUAAUAUAUUUUAUUUUA
Dioscorea cayenensis subsp. rotundata (Guinea yam) is the source of this 874-nucleotide RNA transcript. RefSeq lists it as uncharacterized. The transcript is spliced from 2 exons. The record is from RefSeq and is a predicted model, not a curated record. Lineage: Eukaryota; Viridiplantae; Streptophyta; Magnoliopsida; Dioscoreales; Dioscoreaceae.